CCCGAUGCCAUGCACUUUUCCGCUUCCCAUUUGUAUCUGCAUAAAUUUUCUUAGUGAGAUUCUCUCGGACUUUUCCUUUCUGCAGCAUCAAUUUCUUUGCCUUCAAUGCCACAGCCGGAAUUUUUCUAGGUGCUUCAUCCGUUUUGGAACCUGCCACAGCAGCUCUGAAAGCGGCCAAGAGUUUUGGAUCAAACUGGUCUUUUCUGAUGUCUUCCAUUGAUUUGUUACGAACGGCCUCUCUUAUUUCUUUCCUUAGUUUCUCAACCAGAACCAAUGACUCUUUAUCAUCUUCCGGUGUCUUCUUAAUCUUCUUUACCCUCAAACCAACAGCAUUCUCUCCUUCUGAAGACUUAUCCGUAGUAUUUGGAAGCGUGGGUUUCUUUCUUCUAUCCAGAGCUUUGUAGUUUUUCAGUUGCAUAUCGUAUUGUAUGUUCUUUUUUAGUCUGUGAGGUGUUUCUUUCUUUUUAGCUACUGGUUGUGAUUCCGGUGUUUUAGGAAUAUAUUUUUCUGCUUUUUGGUGGCUUUGGCCUUUCGAUUAUUAUUCUUCCUUUGGCCCGCUUUUUUAGUUUAUGUGUUGGUUGUCUAGUUUCUUAUUCUUAAUUUGAUUAUCUUAUGAUACUAAUAUUGAAAUAAAUAUAAUUUGUAAAUGAAAUAAUAAAAAUUAGUAAAAAUAAUAAAAUGAUGAAAAGUCUUGCUAUUUUUAGGUGUGAAUAAAUUAAAUAUUUAAAAUAUAUUUAUAUUAUUUUAUUUAUUUCUUGAAUUUUAGUAAACAAAUCACCAAAAUACCCUUGUAUUGGUUUAAUCAUAUGUUUGAUAUUAAUUUUAACUAUAGUACAUUUAAUUAUUGAGUUUAAUAUAUUUACAUUAGAAUUAUUUCAAAAUUAACGUUCCUUUUUGCGGUUUGGGCGGAAAAUUUUUUUUUUUGGUUUUAGCGAGAAAGCACAUUUUUCGGUUAUGGCGGAAAAACACAAUUUUUCGGUUCUGGCGAGAAAACGAGAUUUUUUUGUUUUGGCGAGAAAACACGUUUUUUGCGGUUUUGGCGGAAAAUGACGUUUUUGGCGGGAAAACGCGUUUUUUUGCGGUUUUGAAAGGAAACACGUUUUUGCGAUUUUCGCGGGAAAACAGAAUUUUUCGGUUUUGGCGAGAAAACGAGAUCUUUCGUUAUUGGUGGGAAAACGCGUUUUGCGGUUUUGGCGAAAAAAUAUAUUUUUGCGGUUUUGGCGGGGAAACGCGUUUUUGCCGUUUUAGCAGAAAAACACAUUUUUGCGGUUUUGGCGGGAAAACGCGUUUUUUGCGGUUUUGGCGGGAAAACGCGUUUUUGCUGUUUUAGCAGAAAAACACAUUUUUGCAGUUUUGGCAGGAAAACACGUUUUUGCGGUUUUGGCAGGGAAACACGUUUUUGCGGUUUUAGCGGAAAAACACGUUUUUGCGGUUUUGGCGGGGAAACACGUUUUUGCGGUUUUGGCGGGAAAAUACGUUUUUGGCAGGAAAACGCGUUUUUGCGGUUUUGGCGGGGAAACACGUUUUUGGCGGAAAAACGCGUUUUUGCAGUUUUGGUCGGAAAAACGAGAUUUUUCGGUUUUGGUGGGAAAACGAGAUUUUUCGGUUUUGGUGGAAAAAUACGUUUUUUGCAGUUUUGACGGGAAAACGUGUUUUUGCAAUUUUGGCGGGAAAUUACGUUUUUGGGGUUUUGGCGUGAAAAAAUAGUUUUUAGGUUUUCGCGGAAAAACGUGUUUUUGUAGUUUUGUCAGUUUUCGUAUGUGACAAAAAUGAUAUUAUGUUUAGGUUUGUAAUCUGUGAAUUACAUUAGGGGCAUAAUAGACAUUAUACCAUUUUGAAUGAACCAUCUCCAUUCAAAUGAUCCAAAUUGGUUCAGCUGAAUGGACUUUAAAAUUAAGCCUAAAUUUCCAAAAGUCAUCCAGAUGAUCCAUCUGAAUGAGUUGCACUUUUAGUGUCUAAACAAACAAAACUCUCAUCUUCAUCCAAAUGACUCAUUCAAAUGGAGAAACAAACAGGCCCAUAAUCUCCAAAACUCGUGGAGAAGACAAAAGAUGGAUAACUUAAAUUUAUAUACUGUUUUUAAGACUGAACUAGCUGUUUCCUUCGUCAUCUUAUUUACGCAUCUGCUGCUUGUCACUUGCACUUGUCCUUCUCCUUGUGGUGAGCUCCGGUGGAAGAAGAAGCGGCGGUUUCAACAUAUUGCUCGGCGAGUUUCUUAAUCUUGUCGCCUUCCUUGAUCAAGAAGUUAGCACUCUUGGCUUUGCUAUGAUACUUCAUCACUUUCUCUCUGGUUUUCGUCACUGCCCAUCUGUAUUGAUCCACGUUUAUCACUCCGCUCUUACACAGUGGUCUGAUAUGUUCUUUGAUGUAUGCUUCAACCUAUAAAAGAACAAAAGGAGAGAACUGUCAGGAAAUGAGCGAUUUUGACAUAAGAAAUUUAAUAGCUUUUAUUACCUUCUUGAUGAUGGAGUCACUGAACCCAUCAGCUUUGCUUUUCUCUUCUUUAGACGGCUUCUCGCUUGGAUUACAGUUUGGGAUCCUUGUGGGAAGUUUCUUCUCUUGAAUGGAAGUCUUCUCGAAGUUUGAAGCCAUGAACUCUCUGUGCGUGUUGCUCUCGCACUCUGAAUCAGGUGCUUUCGCUUGAAGACCGUUAUCAGCAGAUCCUUCAGUGAGAGGUUUCUCAACUAGUUUCUCUGUACCAGGUCCGUACAGUUCUUCACAUUCAGCUAAAGAAAGGAUCUCACCUCCCUCUCCUUCUCCCUCUGCCUCAGCCUCAGCUUCAGGUACAGGCUCCAUAGGAACAAAGCUCUUCCCAUCUUCUUCACCAUUUGUUGUCCCUUCCUGGUUUAUUGUUGUUUCUUCAUUCCCCAAGACCUCAGAUUGAUUUAGAACUUUCUCAGGUUGAACAGUGGAUAAAACUACCUUCACCUUAGUCAAACCUUCAUCCUGAUGUGUUUCUGAAGCUUUUGUAGCCUUGGUAGCACCGAUGUAGUCUUCGUCAUCCAACUCAUACUCAAAAUCCCCAAAGAUGUCUGUAUCAGGAACUGAACCAAUGUCCAGUACAUUAUCUGGGCCUACUACCUCCCUAGCUUUGUCCAGAGAACUGUCUUCUUUAUCUGGAGGAACUUCUGAUGAACGGUCCGGGCUGUUUGGUGGUGAAUCAACGAGACCUGCUGCUCUGAGCGCUUGAAGGACGGCUAGAUCAUCUGAAUCUUUAUCAUCGACAUGUUCUAUUCCGUUAUUAGACAGUGGUGGUGAAGUAGUUGGUUCUACAGCCUUAUUGUCCAUCGCUUUGCUCUCUGAAUGGUGCAGUAUUUCUUGGGAGCAUAGAUUCAGAUACACAACCUUGCUACUUGAUUUGUCAGCGAUCACUUUCUCGAUAUUUAUAGCAUCUGCAACGGCUAGUUCUGUUGCUGCACUUCUUCGAACUUCCAGAAGAUUUUCUUUCUUCAAUAAAUGUUCUGUCAGCCGGUAUAAUUGUGCCUGCAGCAAGAGUGAUUGGCUUAUGAACAAAAACAAGUACAUAGAGUGAUUGGCUAGCUAUUUCACCGGUUUUUUUUUUUUCAAAUCAACAACAAAUAACCGUGUACACAUGGCACUCAUUAAGCUAUAGACAAGCAUGAAAUCUUGUAUUGUAGACCUCCUCUACAAGUGAAACAAGUGCUAAUAGCGCAAGCCUAUUCUGCUAUCAAACCCAGAGCUAUAAGAAUAUCAAAAGCCAGUGACUUCCCCUUCAAUAUCUAGAACCAGGUAACUUAUUAUGAGCCUAGCACUAAACAAUACCACGAAGAAUUAGAAACUGAAGUAAAAAGCUAUUCACGUACCUGCCUAACUGCAACAGGAACUUUAUUAUGGCGACUGGUCGCAAGGUUUGGCCUCAUAUCAGCUGGAAGUUGAGCCUGACAGCAAUCGUAGAAACAAACAAGCAACAAUUUCAAAACAACAGAUAUGUAAAAGCUGACAAAGCAAGGGCCGAGAAUCACACACCAACAAUGGAUAAUUCCCUUUGAGCUCAGGAGAGCCUUCUUUGUCUUCGCUUGAGUUGCUGCCUGCUAAAGCUUUCUUUCUUGCAAGAACCUGCAAUGCCCAUUUCCUUUUGUCUUUCUUCAGCUCAUCUGGAUUCUCAAAAAUAGGCGGUUUGCUUCCCGAGUUUAUUUUUGAUCCAGCAGCAUUUGAGUUGUUCCCUUUGACAUCGCUGCUCUUUGGUAAGGUCUUGUCCAUUCCUGUUUCUUUCGAUCCCACAAGAGGUUUGAUAUCAUGAUUUCUCGGGAACACAGAGGUAUCUGCCAAAUAUAAUCUGGAGAGAAUAGGAUUUGAAGCCUGUGGGGGUUCAGAUGAAACAUUUUUCUCGGCGUCAGCUGGAUUUUUCUUCAAGAGGCUAAGAACAGACUUCAGCGUCUCAAUUUUCUCAGGCUUUCCAGCUUUCAUGCACCGAUGCUUCCAGAACUCGACGUCACAGUCCCGAUGCCAUGCACUUUUCCGCUUCCCAUUUGAAUCUGCAUAAAUUUUCUUAGUGAGAUUCUCUCGGACUUUUCCUUUCUGCAGCAUCAAUUUCUUUGCCUUCAAUGCCAGAGCCGGAAUUUUUCUAGGUGCUUCAUCCGUUUUGGAACCUGCCACAGCAGCUCUGAAGGCGGCCAAGAGUUUUGGAUCAAACUGGUCUUUUCUGAUGUCUUCCAUUGAUUUGUUACGAACGGCCUCUCUUAUUUCUUUCCUUAGUUUCUCAACCAGAACCAAUGACUCUUUAUCAUCUUCCGGUGUCUUCUUAAUCUUCUUUACCCUCAAACCAACAGCAUUCUCUCCUUCUGAAGACUUAUCCGUAGUAUUUGGAAGCGUGGGUUUCUUUUUACUCCCAAAUCCUUUAACAAUGCUGAAUAUAUCAACAGUUGUAUUGUUUGAAGGCGAUCUGCUCUCGUGCUGAAUGGUAGCUUUUUCUUCCAUUUCCUCUAGCUUUGGUUUAACGAGACGUUCUGCAAUCUCUGCCUUGAUUUUCGAAUUGUCAUCAU
RNAcentral lists this long non-coding RNA (5003 nucleotides) under Brassica napus (rape). Its description in RNAcentral is "long non-coding RNA (BNAP_LNC013292)". Lineage: Eukaryota; Viridiplantae; Streptophyta; Magnoliopsida; Brassicales; Brassicaceae. The record is from RNAcentral.